RNAcentral lists this ribosomal RNA (504 nucleotides) under uncultured bacterium. RNAcentral describes it as "bacterial SSU rRNA". It matches the Rfam family "Bacterial small subunit ribosomal RNA", at positions 21 to 507 of the family's 1533-position model. The record is from RNAcentral.
GGCUCAGGAUGAACGCUGGCGGCGUGCCUAAUACAUGCAAGUCGAACGCACAGCGAAAGGUGCUUGCACCUUUCAAGUGAGUGGCGAACGGGUGAGUAACACGUGGAUAACCUACCUCAAGGUUGGGGAUAACAUCUGGAAACAGAUGCUAAUACCGAAUAAAACUUCGUAUCGCAUGAUACAAGGUUAAAAGGCGCUACGGCGUCACCUAGAGAUGGAUCCGCGGUGCAUUAGUUAGUUGGUGGGGUAAAGGCCUACCAAGACAAUGAUGCAUAGCCGAGUUGAGAGACUGAUCGGCCACAUUGGGACUGAGACACGGCCCAAACUCCUACGGGAGGCUGCAGUAGGGAAUCUUCCACAAUGGGCGAAAGCCUGAUGGAGCAACGCCGCGUGUGUGAUGAAGGCUUUCGGGUCGUAAAGCACUGUUGUAUGGGAAGAACAGCUAGAGUAGGGAAUGACUUUAGUUUGACGGUACCAUACCUGAAAGGGACGGCUAAAUACGUG